CGACGGGCUGCUGCAGUGAGGAAUAUUGCACAAUGGGGGGAACCCUGAUGCAGCAACGCCGCGUGGAGGAUGACGCAUUUCGGUGUGUAAACUCCUUUUAUAUGUCAAGAAAAUGACGGUAGCAUAUGAAUAAGCACCGGCUAACUCCGUGCCAGCAGCCGCGGUAAUACGGAGGGUGCAAGCGUUACUCGGAAUCACUGGGCGUAAAGGACGCGUAGGCGGGUUGGAAAGUCAGGUGUGAAAUCCUACAGCUUAACUGUAGAACUGCACUUGAAACUUCUAAUCUAGAGUAUGGGAGGGGGAGAUGGAAUUAGUGGUGUAGGGGUAAAAUCCGUAGAUAUCACUAGGAAUACCUAAAGCGAAGGCGAUCUCCUGGAACAUUACUGACGCUAAGGCGUGAAAGCGUGGGGAGCAAACAGGAUUAGAUACCCCUUGUAGUC
Molecule: ribosomal RNA, 440 nt
Filed under: uncultured bacterium
Lineage: Bacteria
Description: partial 16S ribosomal RNA
Rfam family: Bacterial small subunit ribosomal RNA
Source: RNAcentral